This 84-nucleotide transfer RNA is filed under the name Pyrinomonadaceae bacterium. Its description in RNAcentral is "tRNA-Leu". It matches the Rfam family "tRNA". Rfam says of the family: Transfer RNA (tRNA) molecules are approximately 80 nucleotides in length. Their secondary structure includes four short double-helical elements and three loops (D, anti-codon, and T loops). Lineage: Bacteria; Pseudomonadati; Acidobacteriota; Blastocatellia; Blastocatellales; Pyrinomonadaceae. The record is from RNAcentral.
GCGGAUGUGGCGGAAUUGGCAGACGCGCGGGUCUCAGAAGCCCGUGAUCGAGAGAUCGUGAUGGUUCGAUCCCAUUCAUCCGCA